UAAUACAGAGGGUGCGAGCGUUGUUCGGAAUUACUGGGCGUAAAGCGCGCGCAGGCGGCCUUUUAAGUCUCGUGGUGAAAUGCCGGGGCUCAACCCCGUGCCCGCCGGAGAUACUGGGAGGCUGGAGACGAGUAGAGGCAAGGGGAAUUCCGGGUGUAGCGGUGGAAUGCGUAGAGAUCCGGAAGAACACCGGAGGCGAAGGCGGCUUGCUGGGCUCAUGUCUGACGCUGAGGCGCGAAAGCGUGGGGAGCGAACA
This 256-nucleotide ribosomal RNA is filed under the name uncultured prokaryote. RNAcentral's name for it is "partial 16S ribosomal RNA". It matches the Rfam family "Bacterial small subunit ribosomal RNA", at positions 521 to 774 of the family's 1533-position model. The record is from RNAcentral.